AGCGGAUGAGUGGAGCUUGCUCCAUGAUUCAGCGGCGGACGGGUGAGUAAUGCCUAGGAAUCUGCCUGGUAGUGGGGGAUAACGUUUCGAAAGGAACGCUAAUACCGCAUACGUCCUACGGGAGAAAGUGGGGGAUCUUCGGACCUCACGCUAUCAGAUGAGCCUAGGUCGGAUUAGCUAGUUGGUGGGGUAAUGGCCCACCAAGGCGACGAUCCGUAACUGGUCUGAGAGGAUGAUCAGUCACACUGGAACUGAGACACGGUCCAGACUCCUACGGGAGGCAGCAGUGGGGAAUAUUGGACAAUGGGCGAAAGCCUGAUCCAGCCAUGCCGCGUGUGUGAAGAAGGUCUUCGGAUUGUAAAGCACUUUAAGUUGGGAGGAAGGGCAGUAAGUUAAUACCUUGCUGUUUUGACGUUACCAACAGAAUAAGCACCGGCUAACUUCGUGCCAGCAGCCGCGGUAAUACGAAGGGUGCAAGCGUUAAUCGGAAUUACUGGGCGUAAAGCGCGCGUAGGUGGUUCAGCAAGUUGGAUGUGAAAGCCCCGGGCUCAACCUGGGAAUUGCAUCCAAAACUACUGAGCUAGAGUACGGUAGA
RNAcentral lists this ribosomal RNA (595 nucleotides) under Pseudomonas sp. HPC326. Its description in RNAcentral is "bacterial SSU rRNA". It matches the Rfam family "Bacterial small subunit ribosomal RNA", at positions 65 to 655 of the family's 1533-position model. The record is from RNAcentral. Lineage: Bacteria; Pseudomonadati; Pseudomonadota; Gammaproteobacteria; Pseudomonadales; Pseudomonadaceae.